Felis catus (domestic cat) is the source of this 2096-nucleotide RNA transcript. It is a transcript of the gene named syntaxin 18, with no coding region annotated. NCBI's taxonomy places the organism in Eukaryota, Metazoa, Chordata, Mammalia, Carnivora, Felidae. The transcript is spliced from 12 exons. The record is from RefSeq and is a predicted model, not a curated record.
GUGAGGAUGAGUGGCUGGCAGGGCUAGCGGAUGGGGACGGAAUGAACUGAGUCUGCACAUUAUCCGAGGUCCCUUUUGACCUGAUAUUUUGUGACCCUAAAUUCAGUGGUAAUGUCUCGAGUGUUUCAUUCGAGUGUUAAUAAUAAUGCUGCCACCCCUGCCCGGCUCUUAGGAAGACGAGCGAGGUACUAGAAUUACAACGCUUUGAGUUUCACGGCGCUGCGUUAUCUCAGGCGAGCGCCCUCGCCAGCUCAGUCACGUUUGAGGUUUUUAACUUAGUAUCAGGGGGAAAUGAAAUGGUCUGAAAGCCCUUUAAUUGUGAGUUUCCGAGGCGGUGUGUGGAAAGACGGCAGCCUGACAGCUUUUCACACGCACCCGCAGGGCCUCCACGGCACAGGCCUCCUGACGUUCGUCGACUUCUGCCCUCGUGUUUCGGGAAAGCCUUCAGUAGCUGCCCCUGUUCUUAAAGCGAGAGCCCGCAUGCCUGCCAAGGCCUGCUCGCCUCGCCCUGGCCGGACUGGCGGCCGCAGCCACAUCAUGUCUGAGUACGGGAGGAUGACAGACACAGAGCGAGACCAGAUAGACCAGGACGCUCAGACGUUCAUGAGGACCUGCUCUGAAGCGAUUCAGCAACUGCGAACACAAGCCCACAAGGAGAUACACUCCCAGCAAGUGAAGGAGCACAGGAGUGCCGUUCUGGAUUUCAUUGAAGAUUACUUGAAAAGAGUUUGUAAACUUUACUCAGAACAAAGAGCCAUCCGAGUUAAGCGAGUGGUGGAUAAGAAGAGACUAUCUAAGCUGGAACCGGAACCAAGGACAAAGACCAGGGAAUCCGUGUCUUCUGAGAAAGUUUCACGGGAUCCUUCGCAAGACUCUGAAGAAAAAUCUGUCACUGAAGAAUAUCCAGAAAAGGUUCCGGCUGAAUCCCAACCCGAAUUGGGCACGUGGGGAGACGGCAAAGGUGAAGACGAAUUAUCCCCAGAAGAAAUACAGAUGUUUGAACAAGAGAACCAGCGCCUAAUUGGUGAGAUGAACAGCCUGUUCGAUGAAGUGAGGCAAAUCGAAGGGAGAGUGGUUGAAAUUUCCAGGCUCCAAGAAAUAUUCACAGAGAAGGUUUUACAACAGGAAGCCGAGAUCGACAGCAUUCACCAGUUAGUUGUAGGGGCGACUGAGAAUAUCAAGGAGGGCAACGAAGACAUCAGAGAGGGGCCUCUGCCUGGCACCAGAGGUGGUGCACAGACUGGCCACAGCUGGCUCAUCCCCCGCUGCCUCCAGGCCGACCCUGCCUGCGUUCUGCCAUCAACCGUGUUUGCCGCUCCCCUAGCCCACCUGGUCCGGCCCGGCCGGCCUCCGGAGUCUGCUGAUGGCUCAUACCCUAACUCAGAAUACAACCGAUUCCACGCGUCUUUUGAGGAGGGCAGGGAGCUUCCCAAAGGUGGGGGUCUCUACCCGAUGGGCCCCGGCUGUGCUGCACCCGGAAUACCAGCGGCAGCCACUGUACGUGGCAAGCACAAAAUGCAUACCUGCCGGCCGGGGGAGGGCCGCAGGAUCAGAGCACUGCGCACGGGCGACAUGCCGGGAAGCGGGAGGUCUGUUGAGCCUGCUGCCCCGUGCGAGCCUUCUGCUCCCUCACGGCCGUGAGACCCAAAGCAAAGCCACCCAGUGACGCGACAGACCAAGCCUGUCCGUGUACGUGCUCAGCACGGGCUUCUCCGGCUUUGAUUUCGGCAGCACCGGCCCCUGGAAAUGGUAGCUUUUCCCUUCACGCUGGCUCUCGAGAGGCUUUCUGGAACAAGGCCGCGUCACAUCAGCAGAGCAGGCAUUUCCGCCAGCAUGGAGAGCUGGCCAAGCAGGUGCCGGAGGGACAAGGACAGGCACGGGCGGGAGGUGGGGCAUGCCCAGCUCUGCUCCCCUUCCCUCCGGGCCUCUGCGCACGCCGCGCCCCGCCCCCCCCAGCGGAGGUCUGUUCCCAGAAGCUGCCUUGUUUACAGCUCCACCCUGCCUUCUCCCCCUGCCCCUCUGCCUCCCUCCCCUGCUCCCUUCCACAGGGGCCCCAUCGCAGGCCACCCGAGGCCAGAGCAGGACUGUGUCCCUCG